Molecule: ribosomal RNA, 206 nt
Filed under: uncultured bacterium
Lineage: Bacteria
Description: partial 16S ribosomal RNA
Rfam family: Bacterial small subunit ribosomal RNA
Source: RNAcentral
CGCGUAGGUGGUUUGUUAAGUUGGAUGUGAAAGCCCCGGGCUCAACCUGGGAACUGCAUCCAAAACUGGCAAGCUAGAGUACGGUAGAGGGUGGUGGAAUUUCCUGUGUAGCGGUGAAAUGCGUAGAUAUAGGAAGGAACACCAGUGGCGAAGGCGACCACCUGGACUGAUACUGACACUGAGGUGCGAAAGCGUGGGGAGCAACA